ACUCCUACGGGAGGCAGCAGUGGGAAUAUUGGACAAUGGGAACCGACUGAUCCAGCCAUGCCGCGUGUGUGAAGAAGGCCUUCGGGUUGUAAAGCACUUUCAGUGGGGAGGAAAGGUUGUUGGUUAAUACCUAACAGCUGUGACGUUACCCACAGAAGAAGCACCGGCUAACUCCGUGCCAGCAGCCGCGGUAAUACGGAGGGUGCAAGCGUUAAUCGGAAUUACUGGGCGUAAAGCGUGCGCAGGCGGUCUGUUAAGCGAGAUGUGAAAGCCCCGGCUGCAACC
This 285-nucleotide ribosomal RNA is filed under the name uncultured bacterium. RNAcentral's name for it is "partial 16S ribosomal RNA". It matches the Rfam family "Bacterial small subunit ribosomal RNA", at positions 335 to 614 of the family's 1533-position model. The record is from RNAcentral.